CCUCAUUUAUGCAACUUUUAAAAGUGAUAAUAAUAUGCUUUGUUUUACCACUUAGGUACGCGACAUUCUACACAAACUUCCCGGUAUUUUCUCUUGUCUUGGACCGUGAUGUUUCUCCAAAUAUUGCUCUUACAUAUCCUGAGCUAUAUAAGGAUCUCACGAAAGGAAGAUCACUCUCUUAUAAAACAUUUUUUCAUAUGGUGUUAAUAAGUAUAUAUCAAGGUGGAGUUCUUAUGUAUGGAGCUAUGUUGCUUUUUGAAGAUGAGCUCAUUCAUGUUGUAAGCAUCAGCUUCACUUCACUGAUUUUAACAGAACUUCUCAUGGUGGGCCUAACUGUACGAACGUGGCAUCCUUUGAUGAUAGUAGCUCAUUUCCUCUCUCUUGGGUUCUACGCUUUGUCAAUCAUUUUUAUGCACUAUUUCGAUUGGGACUUCAUAAAAUCAAAGGACUCUUUUGGAAAGUAGUCGUGAUAACCCUUGUAUCAUGCCUUCCACUGUAUGUGCUAAAAUUCUUACGAAGAA
Long non-coding RNA from Macrobrachium nipponense, 521 nucleotides. RefSeq lists it as uncharacterized. The transcript is spliced from 3 exons. The record is from RefSeq and is a predicted model, not a curated record. NCBI's taxonomy places the organism in Eukaryota, Metazoa, Arthropoda, Malacostraca, Decapoda, Palaemonidae.